CCUACGGGUGGCAGCAGUGAGGAAUAUUGGUCAAUGGACGUAAGCCUGAACCAGCCAAGUAGCGUGAAGGAUGACUGUUCUAUGGGUUGUAAACUUCUUUUAUAUGGGAAUAAAACAUGGUAUGCGUCCUCUUUUGUAUGUACCUUAUGAAUAAGGAUCGGCUAACUCCGUGCCAGCAGCCGCGGUAAUACGGAGGAUCCGAGCGUUAUCCGGAUUUAUUGGGUUUAAAGGGUGCGUAGGUGGAUUGUUAAGUCAGUUGUGAAAGUUUGCGGCUCAACCGUAGAAUUGCAGUUGAAACUGGCAGUCUUGAGUACAGUAGAGGUGGGCGGAAUGCGUGGUGUAGCGGUGAAAUGCUUAGAUAUCACGAAGAACUCCGAUUGCGAAGGCAGCUCACUGGACUGCAACUGACACUGAUGCUCGAAAGUGUGGGUAUCAAACAGGAUUAGAUACCCUGGUAGUC
This 460-nucleotide ribosomal RNA is filed under the name uncultured bacterium. RNAcentral's name for it is "partial 16S ribosomal RNA". It matches the Rfam family "Bacterial small subunit ribosomal RNA", at positions 338 to 795 of the family's 1533-position model. The record is from RNAcentral.